AACGAACGCUGGCGGCAGGCUUAACAAAUGAAAGUCGACCGGGACUUCGGCUGUUGGGGGGGGCGGGUGAGUUACGAGGGGGUAAGUGGCCCUUUCUAAGGCAUAGCCCUGGGCAACUGGGAGUAAUACAGAAUACGCCUUAUUGGGGAAAGGAUUAUCGGAUAAGGCUUUGGCCGCGGUGGAUUGGGUCGUUGGUGGGGGAAUGGCCUACCAAGCCGACGAUCCAUUGCUGGUUUGAGAGGAUGAUCGGCCACACUGGGACUGAGACACGGCCCAGACUCGUACGGGAGGCAGCAGAGGGGAAUCUUAGGCAAUGGGGGCAACCCUGAUCUCGCCAUGCCGCGUGAGUGAAGAAGGCCUUAGGGUUAUAAAUCUCUUUCAGCUGGGAAGAUAAUGACGGUACCAGCAGAAGAAGCCCCGGCUAACUCCGUG
This 432-nucleotide ribosomal RNA is filed under the name uncultured bacterium. RNAcentral describes it as "partial 16S ribosomal RNA". It matches the Rfam family "Bacterial small subunit ribosomal RNA", at positions 29 to 507 of the family's 1533-position model. The record is from RNAcentral.